AGUGAACGCUGGCGGUAGGCCUAACACAUGCAAGUCGAACGGCAGCACAGUAAGAGCUUGCUCUUACGGGUGGCGAGUGGCGGACGGGUGAGGAAUACAUCGGAAUCUACUUUUUCGUGGGGGAUAACGUAGGGAAACUUACGCUAAUACCGCAUACGACCUACGGGUGAAAGCAGGGGAUCUUCGGACCUUGCGCGAUUGAAUGAGCCGAUGUCGGAUUAGCUAGUUGGCGGGGUAAAGGCCCACCAAGGCGACGAUCCGUAGCUGGUCUGAGAGGAUGAUCAGCCACACUGGAACUGAGACACGGUCCAGACUCCUACGGGAGGCAGCAGUGGGGAAUAUCGGACAAUGGGCGCAAGCCUGAUCCAGCCAUACCGCGUGGGUGAAGAAGGCCUGCGGGUUGUAAAGCCCUUUUGUUGGGAAAGAAAAGCAGCAGGUUAAUACCCCGCUGUUCUGACGGUACCCAAAGAAUAAGCACCGGCUAACUUCGU
This 491-nucleotide ribosomal RNA is filed under the name uncultured bacterium. RNAcentral's name for it is "partial 16S ribosomal RNA". It matches the Rfam family "Bacterial small subunit ribosomal RNA", at positions 29 to 506 of the family's 1533-position model. The record is from RNAcentral.